Molecule: ribosomal RNA, 440 nt
Filed under: uncultured bacterium
Lineage: Bacteria
Description: partial 16S ribosomal RNA
Rfam family: Bacterial small subunit ribosomal RNA
Source: RNAcentral
CCUACGGGAGGCAGCAGUCGAGAAUCAUUCACAAUGGGGGAAACCCUGAUGGUGCGACGCCGCGUGGGGGAAUGAGCGUUUCGGCGCGUAAAGCCCUAUCGUCAGGGAAGAAGAUGACGGUACCUGACCAAGAAGCCCCGGCUAACUACGUGACAGCAGCCGCCGGAAUACGUAGGGGGCAAGCGGUCUCCGGAUUUACUGGGUGGAAAGGGGUCGCAGACGGCAAUGCAAGCCAGGAGUGAAAGCCCGGGGCCCAACCCCGGGACUGCUCUUGGAACUGGAUGGCUGGAGUACAAGAGGGGCAGGCGGAAUUCCUAGUGUAGCGGUGAAAUGCGUAGAUAUUAGGAGGAACACCGGUGGCGAAGGCGGCCUGCUGGACUGUGACUGACGUUGAGGCCCGAAGGCGUGGGGAGCAAACAGGAAUAGAUACCCCAGUAGUC